CCUACGGGAGGCAGCAGUAGGGAAUCUUGCGCAAUGGGCGAAAGCCUGACGCAGCCAUGCCGCGUGAAUGAUGAAGGUCUUAGGAUUGUAAAAUUCUUUCACCGGGGAGGAUAAUGACGGUACCCGGAGAAGAAGCCCCGGCUAACUUCGUGCCAGCAGCCGCGGUAAUACGAAGGGGGGCUAGCGUUGCUCGGAAUUACUGGGCGUAAAGGGCGCGUAGGCGGAUAGUUUAGUCAGAGGUGAAAGCCCAGGGCUCAACCUUGGAACUGCCUUUGAUACUGGCUAUCUUGAGUUCGGGAGAGGUGAGUGGAAUGCCGAGUGUAGAGGUGAAAUUCGUAGAUAUUCGGCGGAACACCAGUGGCGAAGGCGACUCACUGGCCCGAUACUGACGCUGAGGCGCGAAAGCGUGGGGAGCAAACAGGAUUAGAUACCCUGGUAGUCCACGCUGUAAACGAUGAGUGCUAGUUGUCGGCAUGCAUGCAUGUCGGUGACGCAGCUACGACAUUAAGACGACCGUCCGCCGUCGGGGUAGGUACGGGUCGGCGAACGUAAGUUAAACGUUAACAAAGUAGUUAAGUUAGUACGGCGUUGGAGACGUUGCCGACGGACGACCGACCGAGGGGAGGUUAGG
Molecule: ribosomal RNA, 631 nt
Filed under: uncultured bacterium
Lineage: Bacteria
Description: bacterial SSU rRNA
Rfam family: Bacterial small subunit ribosomal RNA (bases 1-518)
Source: RNAcentral